AUCCCACUGAGUUUCAAAAUUACAUUUAUUAUAAAAGAGAGGGAUACCUGGGUGGCUUAGUGGUAAGCAUCUGCCUUCAGCCCAGGGUGUGAUCCUGGAGAUCCAGGAUCGAGUCCCAUAUCAGGCUCCCUGCAUGGAGCCUGCUUCUCCCUCUGUCUGUGUCUCUGCCUCUCUCUCUCUGUGUCUCUCAUGAAUAAAUAAAUAAAAUCUUUAAAAAAAUUUUUUUAAAAAAAGGGAGAAUAUUUUUUUAAAGAUUUUUAUUUAUUUGACAGAUAGCAAGCACAAGCAGGGGGAAUGGCAGGCAGAGGAAGAAAGAGAAGAAAGCUCCCUGUUCCGAGGGGAAGGAGCCCAAUGUGAGACCUGAUCCCAGGACCCUGGGAGCCACCCACGCGUCUGAGAAUGUUUUCCAUGGAAAAAUACGAGAGAGAGAUUUCUCUUCAGUGUAAGAAGACAUUUCUAGGGAGCUGUGCAAAGAUGGAAAGAGAUCUUUGCACACAGAGGCAGAAAGUCUCUGGUUGCUGGGCAGUGGUGGGGAGACUGCCUCUCCUCCCUCCAGGUGACAUCUUCCUCUUGUUUGCUACAUUCCAGCCACACCUCUUUUUCUGAGUUCCCCAGAGGAGCCAGGCCCUUUUCCACACCAUUACUGCUGCCUGGGAUGCCCUGUCCCCACCUCCGGCCCCCACCCCGACUUCUUCAGCCUGUCAACCACAAAAUCUUGCUCUUCCUUGAGCUCUCAGCUUAAUGGUUUCAUCCUCAUACAGGUCUUUCCUGACGCCCUUAUCCAAAGAAGGUCUUACUGUUCCAAUUGUACCAUAAUGUCUUGCGUUUUUUCCUUUAAAGCACAUGCCACAUUUAGUCAGAUAUGUAUAUCAUGUAUCUCACAUGUAUACACACACACACACACGUUUAUAUGAAACCACACAAACACAGUUUGUGUCACCAUUUGUUUAAUGUAUGUUUCACCACUAGAAGGUAAGCUUUGCAGAAGGUACCAUCUCAUUUUUUUCAUUUCUCUGUUCUGUUUACAGCACCUGAAACAUGCAUGGUAGGUGCUCCAUAAAUGUAUUAAUGGAGAAUUAAUAACAUUCGUGCACCAAAGUAUCUUGCUUAGUAUUACUCUGAGAAUGAGACGGGAGCCACUAGAAGAGGUUUUGCAUGGGCCCUGCAUCCAGCACUAAAUAAUACUGUAUCACCUUGUGUGAAAGUAAUUUCUUCUCAGUUUGCUUUCAUUCCUUCUGAUUUUGUCAGAGAGAACAGUUUGGUUUGGUGACAGUCUGUAACUGCCGCUCUUACACCUGCCAAUCUCUCUUGUAAACACAGAGAAAUCAGGCUCUCAGCAAGCAACACUGUCUAGCCGAAUUUAAUAGCAUGUUGUUUUAUUAUUAUAUUCAUUCGUUUGUAGGUUGCCUUUUAUUUGUGGCAAGUGAUACUGACUUUCACCUUAUGGUGGUGCUCUGAAGUUUUCUUUUAAAAUAAGAUUAUAAAUAAAAAUGUGAGUUUAUUUAAUGAGAGAGAGCAUGCACACUAAAUACUAAAUAGCACAGUUCCUGGUAUGACAGUGGUUCCUGAAGGGUCUGAAAUUUUGGGACAACUGAAUCCAUCCCUAAACCAGUUUAAGUUCAUGGCAAAAUAAAUGCAUUUAAGUGAGGUCCACUGCUAUUAGAGGAUCCCUGUGGUUCCUUUCAGUGUGGAGAGUGGAUCUAAUAGUUGCAGGUGAAAUCUUGUUUGCUCCCUGUGUGAAUAGCUGUGGAGGUAGAAAGUCUGUGUGUGGGGGAUACCUGGGUGGCUCAACGGUUUAGCGCCUGCCUUUGGCCCAGGGCACAAUCCUGGAGACCCGGGAUCGAGUCCCACGUCGGGCUCCCGGCAUGGAGCCUGCUUCUCCCUCUGCCUGUGUCUCUGCCUCUCUCUCUCUGUCUCUCUCUCUAUCAUGAAUAAAUAAAAAUAUUUUUUAAAAAAGUCCGUGUGUGUGUGUGUGUGUGUGUGCGUGCACACACGCACUUGUGUGUGCUGCUCCCCAGGAAAAGUGCAGAUGUAUCAUACCACACUUUCUGUUAAAAGGAUUUGUAUGUUCUCUGUGAUUUCAAAUAGGGAUUCCAUGUACAGAUUAUCUUCAACUUAACGAUUGGACACCCUCUUGAUAACCCAUCAGAAUUUGCAAAUAUUCUAAGUCAAAAAUGCAUUCAAUACACCAACCCUGCGGAACAUCACAGCUUAGCCUCACCUUCCUCAACUGCCCGGAGCACUUAUGUUUGCCUACAGCUGGGCAAGGUCAUCUCACACAAGGCCUAUUUUAUAAGAAAGUGUUGAAUAGCUCACGUAAUUUAUUGAAUACUGGACUGAAAGUGAGAAACAGAAUAGGUGUAUAGGUGCAGAGAGUUGUGAGGUCAUGUGGCUAACUGGGAGCUGUGGAUCACUGCUGCUGCCCAGCGUCACUAGAGAGAUGGUCAGGAGCUGGAUGGGGAGGAUGUUUCUGUUGCAGCUUCUUUCCAAGAAGACGGGAAAGGGAAGGGAGCGAUCUGAGAGUUAUGGCACCUAAAUGGCUUUUGGGUGUUGUGAGGGCAGCAGGCUCCCCGUUUUCUGAGGUAGGUUGUCAGGGACUGGACAAGGGGAGAAAAAGGGAGGCAGGGCUGACCUAGGCUGGCCACCUGUUGUAAGGAUCUGAAAGGCAAGUUGGGCCGAGUCCCAGGAGGCCUUUACCACCAGAGAGCAACUUGAAAAGAUGUUGGCUGAUUGCAGCGUUGUCACUGCUGCCUUUUCCUGCUGUUUGGGUCAGUGCCAAAUUUGCUUUGCUUAUAAAAAUCCAAACCCUGGGGCUAAGACUCUUCUGUUCCCAUUAGAAAUUCAACAGAGAUAGUAGGACUGGGGAGAUUAUAGCUUUACUGAUUGUUUCACUUUCGGCAACUGCCUGAUUAAAAACACGCAGAGAGGGACGCCUGGGUGGCUCAGUCAGUCAGGCAUCCGACUCUUGGCUUCUGCUUGGGUCCUGAUCUCAGGGCCAUGGGCUAGAGCCCCUCAUGGGGCUCUGUGCUUAGCAUGGAGUCUGCUGGAGAUUCUCUCCCUUCCUUCUGCCCCUCCCCCUUUAGGUGUGCACAUGCCCUCAUCCUCUCACUCUUGGUAUCUCUCUCUAAUAAAUAAGUAAAAUAUUUAUAAAUAAAUUAAUUAAAACAUGCAAAGAAACAAACCAGGUAACAAACUGGGUGUAAACCAUGGUCAGUGUUUUGGCUUUGCAUUUGAAGCUGCAGCCCUUGGUGACAUCGUUUCUGUGAUGAGUAUCAUCUGUCACCAUGUGAGCCAGUUGUCCUUGGUGUAUGUGUGUGUGUGCACAUGUGUGCUCACAUAGAUCCAAGUCAGUGGCUCCUGUUGAUUGCAGAUCUGAGCCUUGUAAUCAAAGGUCAACAGCUUCAACUCAACAAAUACUCAGUGGGUAUUUAUGGAGUACAUACUAUUUGUCAAGCAUCAUGAGGGGUUGCUGUGUGGAUGGUGUGUGUCCAUGUCUACUCAUGCCUACAAUGUAAUGAUUAGAACAGUACCAUGUAAGUUAAACAAGUGGUCUAAAUAAGAGAUCAACAAAAUGCUCAAGGAUUGGGGUGCCUGGGGGUGGCUCAGUUGGUUAGGUGUCCAAAUCUUAAUUUCAGUUCAGGUCAUGAUCUCAGGGUUGUGAAAUUGAGCCCUGCACGGGGCUCACACUGGGCAUGGAGCCUAUCUGGGAUUUUCUCUCUCCCUCUCCCUCCAUCCCUCCCCCCGCUCACAUGUGUGUGUGCACUUUCUCUCUCAAAAAAAUAAAAAACUAAAAUUAAAAAGCUCCAGGAUCACAGAGGAAAAAGCAUUUAAUUCUAGUUGGAGAUCAUUAAGGAAGGCCUUAUAGAAGAGACAUUUGAUCUGGGCCCCCAAGAAGAUGGCAUGGGGUAGUGGGGAACUGGGAAAGAUACCAAAGCAUAAAGACAUGGGAAAUGUUUUGCUUGGGGAAUGCUGUCAUGAAGUAAACCUCUAGAUUAUCUCGUGUUAUGUGGGUCGUAAUAUGGCUAGGGAAUCCCUUUACAUAUUGUGCUCAGGGGGUGCUGCACAGCAGUGGCAGUACACAGUGUGGGGAAGGCUGUGAGUGCCACAGGCAGCGGGACAGUCCGGAGGCGAUGCAGGUGGACCACUAGAAGAAUUUCAACCUCAUUUAUGGUCAUCAGCUAAUAAAAGUCUUACUCAAGAAGGUUCCGGUAGACAUAUAGUUUAUUUUACAUUUUGAUAUUUGGAGGGAUGAGGUUCAGAACUUCUAGACUAUUUGACAGAUGACCAAAUGAGUAAUGUCAUCCAGGAGAGUAUGAGUUUUUCUAAGACGUAACAUCAUGAUCAGCAGAACUGUAUUUUGUUUUUGAAAGUCAGAAUUCUUUUAUUGUACCCACUUAAAGAUAGCUUCCUACUCUAAAGUAGGUUUUCCAUUUUAAGAGGUGAUUCCACCCCUCCCCCCAUAAACCAAAUGUUACGCUUGUAAAUUAAAAACAACCUGAAACAAGUGAGCAGAACUACAGGUCUGCUGUCUCUGUUCUGCAUCCUGCAUUAAGCUGACUGGUCCUUCUGAAUAUCUGCCAGCAGGUGGUGACAGUGCUGUCUCGCAGUUUCAGUUUUUCCUUUUAGUUAUUUGUGUAUGGUUUGCAGACACACUACCUAUUUGUCAUCUGGAAACUUAGGAAGCAUAUUGGGGGUGGGUGGCGUGACGUAAUUGCUCCACCUGUAGAUAAUUACUACCUGCUAUUAUGUGCAUAAUAAUCACUUCUGGCAGAUUACAGUAGCCUCCGAUGAUAACAGAUCUUUGAAGGUGUGGACCGUGGUCUCCACCACCACAAGCUCCCUGGAGAGCAGAAGAAGGUGAAAGCACUUCUGAGAACCAAAUCCUGCAUCCAGGACACCCCUUCCCGAAGCAGGGCACAGCCCGGCGAGGACUGCUGGCGAGGCCUGGCUCCCGGCCUCCUGGGCGCUCAGGCGAGCAUCCUGGCCGUGCUGCUGCAGGAAGGUGCGGGUGGGGGUCGGCAGCCGCACCCACCCCGACACGGGGCUGGGGGGACUUGGGCUGCUGGGCUCGCUUAAUUCUCGAAUGCUGGUCUCAAAAAAGCAGAAUUGCCUGUCCCACGUUUCUGACCAAUCCAUACACUUUGAGCCCCGUCUUUUUAUCAUAAAAAUCCUUUCUAAUAUCCAUGUUGCUUAUUCACAAACCCUCUGAUGCUGAUCAAAGAUAAAGGUACUUGCAGCCUUAUAAUAACCACCUCUGGGGUGUCAGCUUUUUAUUAGAGCCAUUCACAUGCUAAAUAACUGCUUCUAGGGUAUAAAUUAAAAACCACACAUCUUUAUAUCCCAGCUGAUGCUGGAGUAUUUUGAAGAGAAU
RNAcentral lists this long non-coding RNA (5371 nucleotides) under Canis lupus familiaris (dog). RNAcentral describes it as "lncRNA (ENSCAFG00000055916.1)". The record is from RNAcentral. Lineage: Eukaryota; Metazoa; Chordata; Mammalia; Carnivora; Canidae.